GACGUGGCCAAGUGGAUUAAGGCAGG
RNAcentral lists this transfer RNA (26 nucleotides) under Fissidens bryoides. RNAcentral's name for it is "partial tRNA-His". Lineage: Eukaryota; Viridiplantae; Streptophyta; Bryopsida; Dicranales; Fissidentaceae. The record is from RNAcentral.